This is an unclassified non-coding RNA of Vigna unguiculata (cowpea), 977 nucleotides long. Lineage: Eukaryota; Viridiplantae; Streptophyta; Magnoliopsida; Fabales; Fabaceae. The record is from RefSeq and is a predicted model, not a curated record.
CUCGGGUCUAAUUCUACCUAAGGCAUAUAGAUUUUUAUGCCUCGAUCUCCACUUAACCGAGGCAGAUAGCCUUUUUAGGUUAAAUACAAAUCGUGUCACUGUUGCAACGUCUUCUCCGUGGAGCGGCAGCAUCUUCUUCGUGGAGUAAAACAGCUUCUUCGUCUUGGAGUGGACCAGCAGGUUUCGCAUGGAGUGGACCAGCAGGAAUUGCAGAACGCCAAGCACAGGUUCCUUUCUUCCACUGUUGAUCCGUCGUGUAGUUGCAGAACACCAAACACAUCCACUGCUGGUCCGUCGUCGCACAUGCCGUUGCGAUGUCGCCUCUAUCGUUGUUCAAUCCCACCAAUGUGCUUUUUGUGAUUGUCAAUCCAACUCCCAAUUUGAAGAUGCUCGGGUUACUACAGGCUUCUUGAAAGGAAACUUUUGGGUAGGAAGUGUGCUUUCUGCAACCAUCAUUGUCGAGGCAGUAAGAUCAAGAUUGUAUAUCAGUGAAGUUAUAUUUUUCCUCUUGCAGAAAGACAUUGAGAAGCUAUUACAAUCUUGAGUGCUAAAGAUUUGAUUAUAUAUAACAUAUAAUGUUGCACAAGAAAUAGGUAAUUUUCCAGUGCUUUCAAAAGACAAGUAUCAACUAUGAGACUAUAUAGCUAUUGUCGUGAUUUCUUCUGUUUGAGGUGCAUGAUUUGGAUUUGUGGAAGGACCUACAACUGAUGAAGAUGAACCAUUCACACUGAUGAUGGAAAGUUCCAAGCUACGACCAAUACCGUGAAUUCUACCUUUCUUAUUUUCACCUCCCAUUUUCAUCCAUACUUUAGAAUCAACUUUAGGAUGCUUUGGUACAUCUUCUCCAUAUUUUUCUACCAUAGCACUUUCAUAUGAUUCCUAUAUAUAGUAAAUCAAUCAUUUUGUAAUAUAAGAUUAAAUAAGUAAAUAAAUUAUCUUACAUGUAUACUUACAAUGAAAUUUUUUGCUUUAUUGGA